AAUCUAGUGCAGAUCAAGAGGGAAGUGAAAAGUGAAUGAACUUGGAACAAAAAAAUAGCGAAUGAAAAACAGACAAGAAACAGAGGAGUAGGAGUAGGAGUAGGGGCACAUAACCAUAACCAAAAUGGAGAGUUUUAUGAUGAUGAUAUUGAAUUGAACCAUUGAGUCAGAGAGAGAGAGAGAGAGAGAGAGAGAGAGAGAGAGAGAUAAUAAUCUAAAAUUCUAAUAAAUCUUUAAUUCUUAUAGAGAGAUGGAUAAGGAAGGCGAAGACGCAGAUGGAGGAGGUAUCAAAAUUCCAAACCCUAACCCUAAUCUCAGCAAUGGCUCAGCGAAGGGAAAGUCAUGCAAGGGUUGCCUCUAUUACUCAUCCACACAGAAAUCCAAAUCCAAAUAUCCCACCUGCGUUGGCCUCUCCAAAACCCUCCAACAAGUGCCCAGCUACAUUGUGGGAGAGACUGAGUUAGAGGCUUCUAAAGCGGACCGCAGCCUUACAGAUUUCAAGUAUGCUUGUGUAGGUUACUCGGUGUUCUUAGACAGAAAAGAUUCUUCUAGUGAUCAGCAGAAUAAACAAGCGGAAUUGCCGUUUUGUGUUGGUCUUGAGGUAUUGUAUGACAAAAAACCUGCAGGCCAUGCACAGGCUGAUGCUCCUGCUCAUAAAAUUGAAGGUCACCUUAUUAUACAUAAGAACUCUCGGUUGAAGCCACUUGUCACGUGCAUGAUCACCCACAAGAGGAAAUCCACGUAAGGAAAAGUGUUGAGCACUAGUUCCUCAUUGAUUGGGCUAAGCGUCCAGUGAAGCUAUAUACCCCUAUUAGCAACCUUGUUUAUAAAUUCUUGGUGUGUCUCCAGAAAAUGUUCGGCCGAUUCCUCAACCCCAAAGCUACAGACCACCACAUUCAACAGGAGAUGAAUAUCUCAACAGGUUUAAGAGGAAUGCAAUACUAGUAGCAUCAGGUGUUGCUAAGAAUGUGAAUAGAGUGGGAAGCUAUAUCAAACAGAGUGUGGAUGACAUUCUAUACCCUUACCGUAGAAGGCCUAAGUAACAAUUUUGAUUGUAUGAGUAAUUUAUAGCAUAAAAGAAGCCCAAUGCCUGAAAUGGCAUGAUCCCAGUUGUAUGAUUAAAUUGAAAUGUUCCUCCCUCCCUCCUCCUUGUAUGAACAAAUUAAUCAUCACACGAAGGGAGCGGUUUGUAUAUUUUCGUUUGAAAAUAAUUGCUAACAUAUGGGUUUUCGUCUACAAGUAAUUUUUGUUACUUGCGGCCAAAUUUUUACAUAAAUAAUUAUGUGGCUUAGUUGUUUGAUCAGGAGUGAUCAAGCAUUAA
This is an RNA transcript of Prunus persica (peach), 1321 nucleotides long. RefSeq lists it as uncharacterized. The transcript has 6 exons. The record is from RefSeq and is a predicted model, not a curated record. NCBI's taxonomy places the organism in Eukaryota, Viridiplantae, Streptophyta, Magnoliopsida, Rosales, Rosaceae.